AUGCGCUGCCUGACUAUACCAACUUCGGGCCCUGGCCCAGGCUGCACGUGCAGGGCAUCCCAUGGCCCGAGCCUCCACAGCAGCGCAGUGGCAGCGACCUACAAGUUCGUGAACAUGCGGGAACCCUCGAUGGACAGGACGGCUCAGACCCUGCUGUGGACUGAGCUUAUCCGAGGCCUGGGCAUGACCCUGAGCUACCUGUUCCGGGAGCCUGCCACUGAGCCCCUGCUUUCGGGGAGAGCGUGCGCUGAGUCGGCCAUCGGGAGGGGAGCGCUGCAUCGCCUGUAAGCUUUGUGAGGCUGCCCCGCCCAGGCCAUCACUAUCGAGGCCGAUCCGCGCGCGGGCGGAUGGCAGCAGCCGGACCACCCGCUACGACAUCGACAUGACCAAGUGCAUCUACUGCGGCUUCUGCCAGGAGGCCUGCCCCAUGGACGCCAUCGUCGAGGGCCCCAACUUCGAGUUCUCCACCGAGACGCACGAAGAGCUUCUGUACAAGGAGAAGCUGCUCAGCAACGGGGACAAGUGGGAGGCCGAGAUCACCGCCAACAUCCAGGCCGACUACCUCUACCGCUGACGCCCCC
Odobenus rosmarus divergens (Pacific walrus) is the source of this 581-nucleotide RNA transcript. It is a transcript of the gene named NADH dehydrogenase [ubiquinone] iron-sulfur protein 8, mitochondrial-like, with no coding region annotated. NCBI's taxonomy places the organism in Eukaryota, Metazoa, Chordata, Mammalia, Carnivora, Odobenidae. The transcript has a single exon. The record is from RefSeq and is a predicted model, not a curated record.